This 343-nucleotide ribosomal RNA is filed under the name uncultured Bacillota bacterium. RNAcentral describes it as "bacterial SSU rRNA". It matches the Rfam family "Bacterial small subunit ribosomal RNA", at positions 28 to 351 of the family's 1533-position model. The record is from RNAcentral. Lineage: Bacteria; Bacillati; Bacillota.
GACGAACGCUGGCGGCGUGCUUAACACAUGCAAGUCGAACGAUAAAUCAAGAACCGAGUUUUUCGGAAUGAGGGGAAGGAUGGAAAGUGGCGAACGGGUGAGUAACGCGUGGGGAACCAACCUUGAACUGGGGGACAACACCGGGAAACCGGUGCUAAUACCGCAUAUAUCCGGACAUGGCAUCAUGACCGGAGGAAAGGCUUCGGCCGGUUUGAGACGGACCCGCGUCCAAUUAGCUAGUUGGUAGGGUAAUGGCCUACCAAGGCGACGAUUGGUAGCCGGGCUGAGAGGCUGAACGGCCACAUUGGGACUGAGACACGGCCCAGACUCCUACGGGAGGCAG